CUGACUGCUAUCGGAUUGGUACUAAGCCAUGUGAGUCGUUGUAGCAAUACAAGGCAUACGGCUCAGUAACACGUAGUCAAUCUAACCUAUGGACGGGGAUAACCUCGGGAAACUGAGGAUAAUACCUGAUAGAUCAUAAUGCCUGGAACGGUUUAUGGUCCAAAUGAUUUUUCGCCAUAGGAUGGGACUGCGGCCUAUCAGCCUGUUGGUGAGGUAAUGGCCCACCAAGGCUAUUACAGGUACGGGCUCUGAGAGGAGAAGCCCGGAGAUGGGUACUGAGACACGGACCCAGGUCCUAUGGGGCGCAGCAGGCGAGAAAACUUUGCAAUGUGCGAAAGCACGACAAGGUUAAUCCGAGUGUUUCCUGCUAAAGGAAUCUUUUGUUAGUCGUAAAACCACUAUCGAAUAAGGGGUGGGCAAGUUCUGGUGUCGGCCGCCGCGGUAAAACCAGCACCUCAAGUGGUCAGGAGGUUUAUUGGGCCUAAAGCAUCCGUAGCCUGAUCUAUAAGUUUCCGGUUAAAUCCAAAUGCUCAACAUUUGGGCUGCCGGAAAAACUGUAGAUCUAGGGAGUGGGAGAGGUAGACGGUACUCGGUAGGAAGGGGUAAAAUCCUUUGAUCUAUUGAUGACCACCAGUGGCGAAGGCGGUCUACCAGAACACGUUCGACGGUGAGGGAUGAAAGCUGGGGGAGCAAACCGGAUUAGAUACCCGGGUAGUCCCAGCUGUAAACGAUGCAGACUCGGUGAUGCAUUGGCUUGUGGCCAGUGCAGUGCCGCAGGGAAGCCGUUAAGUUUGCCGCCUGGGAAGUACGUACGCAAGUAUGAAACUUAAAGGAAUUGGCGGGGGAGCACCACAAGG
This 857-nucleotide ribosomal RNA is filed under the name uncultured archaeon. Its description in RNAcentral is "bacterial SSU rRNA". It matches the Rfam family "Archaeal small subunit ribosomal RNA", at positions 23 to 886 of the family's 1478-position model. The record is from RNAcentral.